GGGGAUAAAGCUCAGUGGUAGAGUAUUUGCCUAGCAUGUACAAGGCCCUGGGCUCAAAUCCCAAGUAUCACAA
RNAcentral lists this transfer RNA (73 nucleotides) under Ictidomys tridecemlineatus (thirteen-lined ground squirrel). RNAcentral's name for it is "Spermophilus tridecemlineatus (thirteen-lined ground squirrel) tRNA". It matches the Rfam family "tRNA". From Rfam's summary of the family: Transfer RNA (tRNA) molecules are approximately 80 nucleotides in length. Lineage: Eukaryota; Metazoa; Chordata; Mammalia; Rodentia; Sciuridae. The record is from Rfam by way of RNAcentral.